Non-coding RNA from Schizosaccharomyces pombe (fission yeast), 482 nucleotides. The record is from the annotation of a GenBank genome assembly. Lineage: Eukaryota; Fungi; Ascomycota; Schizosaccharomycetes; Schizosaccharomycetales; Schizosaccharomycetaceae.
CUAAGUUCCUUCAUAGUGAAAUUGAUUGCUGCCUUGGACUGACCGUAGGCAGAGAAUCCAGUAGCACGAAAGUCGCCCAUUGAGCCGCAUUCACUGGAAGUAAAGAUAACCUGUCUGGUUUUUUUCUUUGUCAACAACGGAUAAAAAGCUUUGAACACAUGGAUAGGUCCUAAAACAUUGGUUUGAUAAUGAGCAUUCCAAACUUCUUCAGGUGCUUCCAUAACUGUAUAGUAAGAUUGACAAAUACCAGAGUUCAACCAAAGAACAUCAAUUCCAUCGACCGCCUUCGCAACGCUUUGAGCAGCUUCAUUGGCACUCUGCUGAGAUGUGACAUCUAAUUCAACAGUUUUAACAUUAGGAUGAGAUUUGCUCCAUUCUUGUAAUUCAGUAGCAGCUUCGGGUUUGCGAGCACUCGCAAACACAGUCGUUCCUUCUCUACUGCUUAACUCUUUGACAAGAGAGAGUCCAAUACCACGAUUUCC